AGAGUUUGAUCCUGGCUCGAGGACGAACGCUGGCGGCGUGCUUAACACAUGCAAGUCGAACGAGAAGCACUGGAAGGAGUUUUCGGACAACGGAAGGUGUGGAAAGUGGCGGACGGGUGAGUAACGCGUGGGUAACCUGCCCUUAAGAGGUGAAUAACAACGAGAAAUCGGUGCUAAUACACCAUAUGCUUACAAGUGUCGCAUGACAUAGUGAGGAAAGAAUUUCGCUUAAGGAUGGACCCGCGUUUGAUUAGCCAGUUGGCAGGGUAACGGCCUACCAAAGCAACGAUCAAUAGCCGGCCUGAGAGGGUGAACGGCCACAUUGGAACUGAGACACGGUCCAAACUCC
RNAcentral lists this ribosomal RNA (349 nucleotides) under uncultured Lachnospiraceae bacterium. Its description in RNAcentral is "bacterial SSU rRNA". It matches the Rfam family "Bacterial small subunit ribosomal RNA", at positions 8 to 339 of the family's 1533-position model. The record is from RNAcentral. Lineage: Bacteria; Bacillati; Bacillota; Clostridia; Lachnospirales; Lachnospiraceae.